UUGCACUGAAUGAGAUUUUAACACGAAGUGAGUGGCGGACGGGUGAGUAACACGUGGGUAACCUGCCCAGAAGCAGGGGAUAACACCUGGAAACAGAUGCUAAUACCGUAUAACAGAGAAAACCGCCUGGUUUUCUUUUAAAAGAUGGCUCUGCUAUCACUUCUGGAUGGACCCGCGGCGCAUUAGCUAGUUGGUGAGGUAACGGCUCACCAAGGCGAUGAUGCGUAGCCGACCUGAGAGGGUAAUCGGCCACAUUGGGACUGAGACACGGCCCAGACUCCUACGGGAGGCAGCAGUAGGGAAUCUUCCACAAUGGACGCAAGUCUGAUGGAGCAACGCCGCGUGAGUGAAGAAGGGUUUCGGCUCGUAAAGCUCUGUUGUUAAAGAAGAACGUGGGUGAGAGUAACUGUUCACCCAGUGACGGUAUUUAACCAGAAAGCCACGGCUAACUACGUGCCAGCAGCCGCGGUAAUACGUAGGUGGCAAGCGUUAUCCGGAUUUAUUGGGCGUAAAGCGAGCGCAGGC
Molecule: ribosomal RNA, 525 nt
Filed under: Pediococcus acidilactici
Lineage: Bacteria; Bacillati; Bacillota; Bacilli; Lactobacillales; Lactobacillaceae
Description: bacterial SSU rRNA
Rfam family: Bacterial small subunit ribosomal RNA
Source: RNAcentral